AUUCGGAAACUUUUCUUUUUACACAAAAAUGGACCUACGAACACUCCGGUUGAGUUUGAAGAACAAGAAAAACAGUAGAGGUCUACCCGGUACCUAUGGUUAAACAUGAUGAUCAUAAGUGCAUGCAUCAUUUUGCAGAUUCUCAUCCAGGAUGAUGCAGCUCUACAAUUUCCAUGGAGGUGAUUGAUGAUGAUAAACAAUUGGUGAAGUAGGCCUAAUAGAACAGUGAUAGGACCACAAAGAGAAAUACAACCUACAGCAGUUAUAUGAGACUGGUGUAACAGAUGUUUUCAUUCAAGAAAUCCAACAAAUUGAAGAGUGACUUAGCUUAGGAAGCACUUGAUAAAGAUGGAAAAGUUUUUUUUUUUCAAGUCCAAUUUUUUUUUAUUUAUUGUUAUCACAACCCCAAAUUCAUGAAGUAUGAAAUUUCCUGUUGAUUUUCAUUAAAACUGAUUGCAAAAGGAGAAGCUAUAAACAUACAAAUAGGAGCGGCGAAGUGAAGUUGAAAGUGGGGGGGGGGGGCACAGGGAAAAUGCUGUAUUAUGUGAAAUUUUUAAGAAGUUGCGAGAGAGCAAAAUUUUGACAUUUUUAAAAAGAAAAUCCAAUUUUGUGAUAGAUUUCGACAAAAUCUUCAGAAUGAUAUAUUUCACCCUUUUUUGGGGGGGCAAGAGUCCUUUAAGCCCCCCCCCCUCCCCCUCCAUCUGUAGUGUACGAAACUGCUUAUCUACCCCCACUCACAUGAAUUAUUAAACUUAAUGCACAAAUGAUUUCCUUAUUGUUUUCUUGUUUCAAAGGGCACUCGUCAUGGUGACCAUAAAACGGGUCCUCAGGUGAAAGGGGCACAGAACAAGUUCUUUAGGAGCACUUUUCUUUGGUAAAAGGGGGCAGUUAUUCGAGAAAGCUAGGGCACUUACAAGAAGGCGAGGGGGCACUUUUUAACACAUAAAACGCGCCCUCAGAUGAAAGGGCACAAAACACGUUCGGGGGGGCAUUUUUUGGUAAAAAUUUGCAUACAAGGAAGAGCACUUGGUAACACCUAAAACAGGUUCUCGUCAGGUGAAAGGGACACAGUACACGUUCGUGAGGGGGCAUUUUUCUUACAUAAAAUUAAAGGCACUUUUCAGUGCUUCAAAAAGUAGGGGGAAAUGUGCCCCCCAGGAUCGCUGCCCCUGCAUACAAAAAACAUUUUCGUUCGAUCCAAAGUAUUAACAUACGCUUAAGAAAAAAAGUAAGGCUAAAUCCUCUGAUAAUGUGAUAUUUUUUCUGGCUAUUAAUAAAAUUCACAACUAACC
This is a long non-coding RNA of Lytechinus pictus (painted urchin), 1292 nucleotides long. RefSeq lists it as uncharacterized. The transcript has 4 exons. The record is from RefSeq and is a predicted model, not a curated record. Lineage: Eukaryota; Metazoa; Echinodermata; Echinoidea; Temnopleuroida; Toxopneustidae.